Molecule: long non-coding RNA, 409 nt
Filed under: Sorghum bicolor (sorghum)
Lineage: Eukaryota; Viridiplantae; Streptophyta; Magnoliopsida; Poales; Poaceae
Description: long non-coding RNA (SBIC_LNC015128)
Source: RNAcentral
GGCAGCGAGUGCCUCGCGAAACGUCGUCCUGGCCGUGGGCGGUGAGGACCUCGCACGCCGCCGUCGUUGUUGUGGCCGUGGCCGCGCGCCGCCAUCAUGGCCAUGGCCGCGAGUGCCCCAAGCUCGUGCCACAGCUGCAAGAGCAAGGAUGGCACGACGGGGAGGGCGCCUGGGAGCGCGGCGUCGGCGGUGCUGCGACGGAGGAGAGGAGGUAGGAGGAGGUGACCGGAGGUGAGAUGAGCGCGCCUCUGAGCUCCAACGAGCCGCUCUUGCGCUCAGGCGAGCCGAGCCCCCAGGAAACGGACUUUUUGAGCGUAUCUGUGGAGCCAUGAGAGAGAAGGCAAUUUGCACCACGGCAGCCUAGCUCGCUGGUGGGCUCUAGCUCGCAAACAUGCGCCUUGCAUGCGGG